AUGAGAACGCUCGCGGUUGUGUCCGUGCUAGCCACGGCGGCCAUGGCCAUCGCCUGCGCGCACGCCGCACAGUGCGGUUCACAGGCCGGCCGGGCGACCUGCCCGAACUGCCUCUGCUGCAGCCGCUUCGGCUGGUGCGGCUCUACCCUAGAGUACUGUGGCGACGGCUGCCAGAGCCAGUGCUCUGGCUGCGGCACGCCCGACCCCUCUGGUGGUGGCGUUUCCUCCAUCAUCUCCCGCUCACUCUUUGACCGGAUGCUGCUGCACCGCAACAACGGGGCGUGCCAAGCUAAGGGAUUCUACACCUACGACGCCUUCCUAGCGGCCGCGGCCGCCUUUCCAGGGUUCGGCACCACAAGCAGCACCGCCACCCGAAAGCGUGAGGUGGCCGCCUUCCUAGCACAGACCUCCCAUGAGACCACCGGCGGGUGGGCUACAGCCCCAAACGGGCCCUACGCGUGGGGCUAUUGCUUCAAACAGGAGCGCGCUAAGUCCAACUACUGCACCCCAAGCGUGAUAUGGCCAUGUGCCCCUGGAAGACGCUACUAUGGCCGAGGGCCCAUCCAGCUCUCUCACAACUAUAACUAUGGGCCGGCGGGCCGCGGCAUCGGGGCUGACCUGCUAGGCAACCCGGGCUUGGUGGCCACAGACUCGACCGUGUCAUUCAAGACGGCAAUUUGGUUCUGGAUGACAGCGCAGCCACCCAAGCCCUCGAGCCACGCGGUCAUAACGGGCCACUGGAAUCCUUCAGCAGCGGACCGGGUUGCGGGGCGAGUGCCUGGCUUCGAUGUGAUCACCAACAUCGUCAACGGCGGGAAGGAGUGCGGGCAUGGGUAUGAUAAGCGUGUUUCUGACCGGAUCGGGUUUUACAAGCGCUACUGCCACAUCCUUGGCGUCACCCACGGUGACAGCCUUGACUGCUACAACCAGGAGCAUUUUCCUAUAAAUUUUUCUUGA
This 957-nucleotide ribosomal RNA is filed under the name Triticum aestivum (bread wheat). RNAcentral's name for it is "partial small subunit ribosomal RNA". The record is from RNAcentral. Lineage: Eukaryota; Viridiplantae; Streptophyta; Magnoliopsida; Poales; Poaceae.